GAUGAACGCUGGCGGCGUGCCUAAUACAUGCAAGUCGAGCGAACGGUCUAGACGCUUGCUUCUCUGACGUUAGCGGCUGACGUGUGAGUGGGAGGUUAAUAAGCUGGCUAUAUGCCUGGGAGAGGUGCGGGAAUCCGGAGCACGAACCGUAAAAUAGUAUAAUCUUAAUUAUUCAAAAGUGAUAAACUGUAUGGCGGUCAUUCAUCGAUGCAUCGGCGCUGCGUUAGCUAUUUGGUAAGGUAACGGCUUACCAAGGGAACGAUGAAUAGCGGAUCUGAGAGGGUGAUGGGCCAAACGGGAACUGAAACACGGUCCGGACUCCUACGGGAGGCACCAGUAGGAAAUCUUCCGCAAUGAGCGAAAGCCUGACGGAGCAACGCCGCGUGAGUGAUGAAGGUAUUCGGAUCGAAAAACUCUUUUAUUAGGGAAGAACAUAUGUGUAAGUAACUGUGCACAUCGUGACGGUACCUAAUCAGAAAGCCACGGCUAACUACGUG
RNAcentral lists this ribosomal RNA (497 nucleotides) under uncultured bacterium. RNAcentral's name for it is "partial 16S ribosomal RNA". It matches the Rfam family "Bacterial small subunit ribosomal RNA", at positions 28 to 507 of the family's 1533-position model. The record is from RNAcentral.